This 220-nucleotide unclassified non-coding RNA is filed under the name Hevea brasiliensis (rubber tree). The record is from RNAcentral. Lineage: Eukaryota; Viridiplantae; Streptophyta; Magnoliopsida; Malpighiales; Euphorbiaceae.
AUGGACUCGGCUGUUUUGAAGUUUUGAAGAAAAGUAGGUUGCUGUAAAAGGAAGUGAAUCAAUAGGAUUUUUGGACAAAUGGCACAGAGGGAAGAGAAUUCUUAGUUGAAUAAAUGCUGCAUCCAGAUUCGGUUAGUGUUCAUGCCCGUAGAGAACUUUUUCUAGCAAGCACGGAAUGAGUGAGAGCUCAAAGCGUAGAGGAAAUUCCUUCUCUUAUCCA